This is a non-coding RNA of Oryza barthii, 183 nucleotides long. NCBI's taxonomy places the organism in Eukaryota, Viridiplantae, Streptophyta, Magnoliopsida, Poales, Poaceae. The record is from Rfam.
AAAAAGACAAACUCUAGUUUCCGUGUCCAACGUUUAACCGUCCGUCUUAUUUAAAAAAAUUAUGAAAAAAAUUAAAAAGAUAAGCCACGCAUAAAGUAUUAAUUAUGAAAAUACUAAUUAUAAAAAAAUUCAUAUAAGACGGACAGUCAAACGUUGGCAUGAAAAACCACAGUUUACCUUUUU